AACAGGAUUAGAUACCCUGGUAGUCCACGCCGUAAACGAUGUCGACUUGGAGGUUGUGCCCUUGAGGCGUGGCUUCCGGAGCUAACGCGUUAAGUCGACCGCCUGGGGAGUACGGCCGCAAGGUUAAAACUCAAAUGAAUUGACGGGGGCCCGCACAAGCGGUGGAGCAUGUGGUUUAAUUCGAUGCAACGCGAAGGACCUUACCUACUCUUGACAUCCAGAGAACUUAGCAGAGAUGCUUUGGUGCCUUCGGGAACUCUGAGACAGGUGCUGCAUGGCUGUCGUCAGCUCGUGUUGUGAAAUGUUGGGUUAAGUCCCGCAACGAGCGCAACCCUUAUCCUUUGUUGCCAGCGGUUCGGCCGGGAACUCAAAGGAGACUGCCAGUGAUAAACUGGAGGAAGGUGGGGAUGACGUCAAGUCAUCAUGGCCCUUACGAGUAGGGCUACACACGUGCUACAAUGGCAUAUACAAAGAGAAGCGACCUCGCGAGAGCAAGCGGACCUCAUAAAGUAUGUCGUAGUCCGGAUUGGAGUCUGCAACUCGACUCCAUGAAGUUGGAAUCGCUAGUAAUCGUGGAUCAGAAUGCCACGGUGAAUACGUUCCCGGGCCUUGUACACACCGCCCGUCACACCAUGGGAGUGGGUUGCAAAAGAAGUAGGUAGCUUAACCUUCGGGAGGGCGCUUACCACUUUGUGAUUCAUGACUGGGGUGAAGUCGUAACAAGGUAACC
This 730-nucleotide ribosomal RNA is filed under the name uncultured bacterium. RNAcentral describes it as "bacterial SSU rRNA". It matches the Rfam family "Bacterial small subunit ribosomal RNA", at positions 771 to 1501 of the family's 1533-position model. The record is from RNAcentral.